Molecule: long non-coding RNA, 4371 nt
Filed under: Sus scrofa (pig)
Lineage: Eukaryota; Metazoa; Chordata; Mammalia; Artiodactyla; Suidae
Description: lncRNA (ENSSSCG00055004120.1)
Source: RNAcentral
UUUUUAUUUUUUACAGAAUAAAUAUAUUUAAAUACAAUUACAUUCAUACAGAUUAUUAUAUCAUGGAUCUUAAGAAACAGAUUUAGUGACUCCCUCUGGAGAAGUGGAAUGGAAAAUAUGCUGAGACAAAUAGGAAAUCUAUUCUAUACUUUAUCCCAUUUUGUAUGGCUUUCAUUUUUACUAUUUAGUAUUAUCUGUUACAUUCAAUUUUUUCUUUAAAAAUUAGCAUUAUAUUAAAAUUGUGUAUAUAAUGCAACUAAAAUUUAUAAAGAAGAAAGCGUUAUAUACCAUUAAAUAUUUUAUAUAGCAUAAUAAAAAGAAUAACUUAACUGCUAAGAAUAACAAAAAUAAUAUACCCUCUGAAAAUAAGUAAAUAUAAAAUGCAUAAAUUGGUUAAAAAACAGUGUAACUAUAUAAAUAUGUCCUCAUAAUUUGUUACAUCUUAUUGAUUCUUCAAUAUAGGCAUUACACCAUUCUAGGUGAUGUGAUAAACAAGACAUUAUAGACCUUACAUUGUACCAUGGAGAGAAAUGGUUAUUAAUAAUAUAAUUGUAGAACUGUAUUAUUUAAUUGUACAGUUGCUUUAAUUAUAGUUAUCACAAAUUGUUUGAUGGAGAGGAAAUGAGAAUCAGAUCUAAGAAGACUUCAGCAUUCCAAGAAUGAUGUCAAAUGACCCCCUUCAUGGUGGAUUAUGCACUUAUUUACUGUGAGAUAUAUUUCUUCUCCAGAGAUUCCUUGUUUGUGUAUCAAUUGUAGAUUUUUGUUUGCAGUUAUUCCGAAGUUUUGAUAUAAGAAUCUAUAUGUAUAUGAGAUUGUUUUAAGUUGUUGAUCGCUUAAUUGCAAGUUCAUCUCCAGUGUCGUGCAUUUGUACCCACCCUUCUCAUGAUUGCUGAUUUUGGUGGUGUAAUUGUGCAUGGAUGAUUUCAUAUCUUACUGUAUAUGUACCUUUACUAGUGAGCCUGAUCAUUUGUGGCAUUUUUGUUUCCUGUUGCUAUCUUUUCUUUUCUGCUUAGAGAAGUUCCUUUAGUAUUUGUUGUAAGGCUGGUUUAGUGUUGCUAAAUUCUCUCAGCUUUUGCUUAUCUGUGAAGGUUUUGAUUUCUCCUUCAAAUCUGAAUGAGAGCCUUGAUGGGUAAAGUCAUCUUGGUUGGAGCUGUUUUCCUUUCAUCACGUUAAUUAUAUCAUGAUACUCCCUUCUGGCCUGCAGAGUUUCUGCUGAAAAAUCUGCUGAUAACCUUAUCAGGGUCCCCUUGUAUGUUAUUUGUUUGUUUUCCCUAACUGCUUUCAAGAUUUUCUCUUUGUCUUUAAUUUUGGUCAGUUUGAUUAAUAAGUGUUUCAAUGUAUUCCUCCUUGGGUUUAUUUUAUACAGUACUCAUUGGGCUUCCUGCAUUUGAGUGAGUGGUUCCUUUCCCCUGUCAGGGAAGUUUUUGGCUAUUAGNCUCUUGGAAUAUUUUUUCCGUCCCCUUCUCUCUCUCUUCUCCUUCUGGCACCCCUCUAAUACGGAUGUUGGUGCAUUUAACGUUGUCCCAGAGUUCUCUGAGACUCUCUUCAUUUCUUUUCAAUCUUUUUUUCUCUUUUCUGUUCUGCAUCCAUAAUUUCCACUAAUCUGUCCUCCACCUCGCUUAUUCGUUCUUCUGCCUCCUGUAUUCUGCUAUUGGCUGCUUCUAGUGAAUUUUUUAUUUCGGUUAUUGUAUUGUGCAUCUCUUCUUGUUUAAGUUUUAUAGCUUGUAUUUCUUUGCUCAGUGUUUCCUGUAAGUUAUCCAUCUUUUCCUCCAGUUUAUUUCCAAUAUCUUGCAUCAUCUUCAGCAUCAACAAUCUAAAAUCUUUUUCCUGGAGGCUAAGAAUCUCCUCAUCACUUAGCUGAUUUUCUGGGGUUUUUCCUUUCUCCCUCAUCUGAGUUCUCUGUCCUUUCAUUUUUAUAGGUUUUUGGUGUGGUGACCUUUUUACAGAUAAUAGAGUUGUAGCCUCUCUUACUUCUGGUCUCUGCCCCCCUUGUGGUUAAAGGUCAGUAUGGGGGCUUGCUGUAGGCUUCGUGAUGGGAGGGACUGAUGCCUGCCCACUGGUAGGUGGAGCCGAUUCUGAUCCCUCUGGUGGGUAGGGCUUAGUCUUUGGAUGGGAUUAGAGGCAGCUGUGUGCCUGAGGGGUCUUUAGGCAGCCUGUUUACUGAGGGGCAGGGCUGUGAUCACACCUGGAUUGUUGUUUGCCCUGGGGCUUCUCAGUGAUGACUGACAGGUGGGGCCAGAUUUUCCCAAAAUGGCCACCUCCAGAGACAGGCAGCUCCUGAAUAUUCCCGAGAACUUUGCCUUCAAUGUCCUUCCCUCACAAAAAGCCACAUUCACCCCGGUUUUCCCAGGGUGUCCUCCAAGAAGUGUAGUCAGGUUUGACCCAGAUUCCUAUGGACACCUUGCUCUGCCCUGGGACCCAGUGCACGUGAAUGUCCAUGUGCGCCUUUUAAGAAUGGGGUCUCUGUUCCCCCAGUCCUGUGGAGCUCCUGCGCACAAGCCCCACUGGCCUUCAAUGCCAGAUGCUCUGGGGGCUCUUUCUCCCAGUGCUGGAUCCCCACACAUGAGGGUUUAAUGUGGGGCUCAGAACUCUCACUCCUGUUAUGUGAGUCUCUGUGAAACAGUUAGUUUUCAGUCUGUGGAGCUUCCCACCUGGGAGGUAUGGGGUUGUUUAUAUCAUGAAAUUGCCCCUCCUACCUCUUGAUGUGGCCUCCUCUUUUUCUUCUGGAGUAGGGUAUCUUUUUUAAGGUUUCCGGUCCAUUUGGGUGGAGAUUGCUCAGUCUUUAGUUGUGAGUUUUGCUGUUUUUAGGAAAGAAGUUGAGUUCCAGUCCUUCUAUUCUACCAUCUUAAUCCUCUAACUUCAAUUUUUACCAUGUCAAUUUUCACCACAUCAAAAAUAAUUAUGGAGAGAAUAAAGAGAAACACUAAGUAAAAUGAGAGUGGGACAUGAGGAUUUUUGAAGAACUAAAUCUUCUGAGUAUUUAUAACAUUAAAAAUGAGUCUGGGUAUAAGAAAAUGAAAAUAUAAAGUAUUUCAGCAUCUAUAACAUGAAAUUGGUUAUAAUAUUUUAAAAUACAUCUAUAAUAUGUGCAAGAAAAUAUAUUCCUAUUUUUAGACAUAAUGCAAUAUCACUUAUAUAUGGAACCUAAAAAUAUGGCACAAAUGAACCUAUUUACAAAACAGAAAUAGACUCACAGGAAGAAAGAACAGGCUUGUGGUUGCCAAAGGGGGAGGGAGAGGGAAUGGAAUGGAUGGGAAAUUUGGGGUUGGUAGAUGCAAACUGUUGUAUUUAGAAUGGAUAAGCAAUAAGGUCCUACACUAUAGCACAGGGAACUAUAUCAAAUCUCUUGGGAUAGAACAUGAUGGAAAAUAGUAUGAGAAAAAUAAUGUAUAUAAAUGUAUGAUUGGGUCACUGUGAAUACAGCAGAAAUUGAUACAACAGUGUAAAUCAACUAUAAUAAAAAUAAAUAAAAUUAUAGAUCAACUAUACUUAUUUAAAAAAAUUAAAAGAAUAAAAUUAAAAAAUAAAAGUAUAAAAAUAUUUUACUACCAGUUAAUAACAUGCAUAAAAAUAUGAACUAUAUCAAGCAUUUUUGUGUCUAUGGUAUGCAGCAUAAGUCCCAGACACAGCUUAAUAGUCACUGUAUGAAAGAUUAAAUUUACUAAGGAAUAGGCAGAUGAAUGAGAAUUAUAUAGUUAGUAAGAUAUUGAAAUAUAAUUCAUGUGGCUGUGUAACUUUGUGGGAAAUAUACAGGUAAAAGUAAUAUAGAUAAAACACACAUUGCCUUUCUUUAGAAAUUUUUCCCACUCCACCCCCAACAUUCAUUCUUCACUAUACCUAGAUUCCAGGAAACAAUUAAAUAUUGAAGCAGUUAGUCUCUACUCUGGAAAUGAAACAGAACUUCGAAAUUAUUCUAGUUACAACAUUCUGACUUUUGAACUACCAUUUCAGUGAAAAACAGGAUUUCAAAAUUGAAUGCUAAUUCAACUAGUUCUGAGUAUAUGUUUAAAUCCUUCAAAUCAUUAAGUUGCUUGGACACAGAAACAGCCAAUGCACUUGCACCAAUUAGUUCUGGUUAGAAGCUCAAACUUUCUUUGGGUCAAGGGCAAUUUGAGUGAUUGGUAGCUGUGAUGGUGGUGAAACUGGGGAAAACAAAAAUAAGGUCAAAUCCUCAAAAGUAUAAGAACCUACUCAGAAAAGAUAAAGUAUAUUUUUUCUCUUUCCUAUUAGUAUUUUUCUUUUGAAAUCUGACAUUUAAAAAAAUGACCAGUCCAAGAAGACUUACAUUGCCAUUAGUUAAUCUUCCAUGGACCCUGGAAAAGAGUCACUUGAAAAAGUCACACAACCAGACCAAAAAAAAAAAAAAAAAAA